This 240-nucleotide unclassified non-coding RNA is filed under the name soil metagenome. RNAcentral describes it as "partial contains 5.8S ribosomal RNA, internal transcribed spacer 2, and large subunit ribosomal RNA". The record is from RNAcentral.
AACGCACGAGACCUGCGGACCUGCGGAAGGAUCAUUACCGAGGAUGGGGGUAUGUGGGGCGGCGAGGCCGGAGGGCGAUGCCGAAAGGCGAUGCCGGAGGGCGCAGCCAGCCACGUACACACUCGUGCUUGCUGGGGAGGCGUGGCUGGGAGUGGGGGAUUCUGGCGGCUCACGUGGCAGCACUGCCUGUGGGACACGGGAGUCUUUCUCUGCUCGCCACGCACACCCAGGUGCACAUCA